GGCACAAAACCCUAGCACCUUCGUCGUUGGCAAACUAAGAAGACCUAGAACAAUAAAAACUUCCCCAACACACCUGUGACUUACCCAAUAUUUUGACGUCCUCCACCCCACGCUACAGCCAUGGAAACGGGUCAGCGCCUCACAAACAGAGAAUACCCAUUAGCAAUUGCUUCAUAGGACAUUGCAAAAUACUCAUCAUUAGGACUUAAGGAAAGAAGUACAAAGUUGAAUCACAACCCUACCAUCAGGACCCUUAUAUUGCGAUCUCGGUAUCGGAGCUUUUGGACCACAGU
Molecule: long non-coding RNA, 293 nt
Organism: Nicotiana attenuata
Lineage: Eukaryota; Viridiplantae; Streptophyta; Magnoliopsida; Solanales; Solanaceae
Exons: 3
Source: RefSeq, a predicted model, not a curated record